RNAcentral lists this ribosomal RNA (505 nucleotides) under uncultured bacterium. RNAcentral's name for it is "partial 16S ribosomal RNA". It matches the Rfam family "Bacterial small subunit ribosomal RNA", at positions 28 to 507 of the family's 1533-position model. The record is from RNAcentral.
GACGAACGCUGGCGGCGUGCCUAAUACAUGCAAGUAGAACGCACAGUUUAUACCGUAGCUUGCUACACCAUAGACUGUGAGUUGCGAACGGGUGAGUAACGCGUAGGUAACCUGCCUGGUAGCGGGGGAUAACUAUUGGAAACGAUAGCUAAUACCGCAUAAUAUUAAUUAUUGCAUGAUAAUUAAUUGAAAGGUGCAAUUGCACCACUACCAGAUGGACCUGCGUUGUAUUAGCUAGUAGGUGAGGUAACGGCUCACCUAGGCGACGAUACAUAGCCGACCUGCGAGGGUGAUCGGCCACACUGGGACUGAGACACGGCCCAGACUCCUACGGGAGGAAGCAGUAGGGAAUCUUCGGCAAUGGACGAAAGUCUGACCGAGCAACGUCGCGUGAGUGAAGAAGGUUUUCGGAUCGUAAAGCUCUGUUGUAAGAGAAGAACGGGUGUGAGAGUGGAAAGUUCACACUGUGACGGUAUCUUACCAGAAAGGGACGGCUAACUACGUG